AGAGAGAGACAUGCGCGCAUAUCAAUAAGCGGAGGAAAAGAAACUAACAAGGAUUCCCUUAGUAACGGCGAGUGAAGCGGGAAGAGCUCAAAUUUGAAAUCUUCAAGGUUUUACCUUGACGAAUUGUAGUUUAAAGAAGUGUUUUCUGCUGAAGUUUUGGUAAAAGUUCUUUGGAAUAGGACAUCAUAGAGGGUGAGAAUCCCGUAUUUGACCAUUAUUUUCAGCUUUGUGAUACACUUUCAAAGAGUCGGACUGUUUGGGAAUGCAGUCCAAAAUGGGUGGUAAAUUUCAUCUAAAGCUAAAUAUUGGCGAGAGACCGAUAGCGAACAAGUACCGUGAGGGAAAGAUGAAAAGAACUUUGAAAAGAGAGUUGAACAGUACGUGAAAUUGUCAAAAGGGAAGCGUUUGACACCAGUGUUGUUUUCUCGAAAAUCAAUUAAAAAUGGCUCGAUUUUGUAUUGCUGAGACCUUAAAAGCUCACUGUACAUUUUUCGUGUCUUUUUUAAUGCACUUUUCGUUUAACAAGUCAACAUCAGUUUCUUUUGUUGUAAAAGGGUCAUUGGAAGGUGGCUUUCUUUUCGGAGAAAGUGUUUAUAGCCUUUGGCCUCUGCAAUCGGAGAGACUGAGGUCUGCAGCGUAGACUCUUCGGGGUUAGAUACAUUUGUGCUAAGUUAUAGCUUUUUAUAGACAACUUGUUGACUAUAAUUAGUCUUGUAGCUUACUCGCUUAUGCUAUUUUACCUACGCUUAGGAUGUUGAAGAUGUAGCACAUCAU
RNAcentral lists this ribosomal RNA (774 nucleotides) under uncultured Neocallimastigales. RNAcentral describes it as "partial large subunit ribosomal RNA". It matches the Rfam family "Eukaryotic large subunit ribosomal RNA", at positions 23 to 634 of the family's 3401-position model. The record is from RNAcentral. Lineage: Eukaryota; Fungi; Neocallimastigomycota; Neocallimastigomycetes; Neocallimastigales.